This 326-nucleotide ribosomal RNA is filed under the name uncultured eukaryote. Its description in RNAcentral is "partial 18S ribosomal RNA". It matches the Rfam family "Eukaryotic small subunit ribosomal RNA", at positions 1470 to 1796 of the family's 1831-position model. The record is from RNAcentral.
CCCUUAGAUGUCCUGGGCCGCACGCGCGCUACACUGAACGGAUCAGCGCGUUUUCCCUUCCCGAGAGGGACGGGUAACCUGCUGAACCCCGUUCGUGGUAGGGAUCGGGACUUGCAAUUAUUCCCCGUGAACCAGGAAUGCCCAGUAAGUGCAAGUCAUAAGCUUGCGUUGAUUACGUCCCUGCCCUUUGUACACACCGCCCGUCGCUACUACCGAUUGAACGUUUUAGUGAGGUACUCGGACUGAGCCUCAGAAGAUUCACGUCUUUUGUGCUGCUCGGGAAGAUUCCCAAACUUGAGCGUUUAGAGGAAGUAAAAGUCGUAACA